RNAcentral lists this long non-coding RNA (1140 nucleotides) under Pogona vitticeps (central bearded dragon). RNAcentral's name for it is "lncRNA (ENSPVIG00000011386.1)". The record is from RNAcentral. Lineage: Eukaryota; Metazoa; Chordata; Lepidosauria; Squamata; Agamidae.
AUGAGAUCUAGAACCAUGCAUGUAUGUUUUGAACGGAAAGCGUUGGCGGUUGGAUUGGCCAGUUCCUUGCCCUGGAAUCCUACCCUCCACAGAAUAUUUUUAUACUUCCCAAGACCGAGAACUGGAGAACGAAUCAUCCUGCAUCUACUCUUUCUCCACGGAGGACCUCGCGCUGCUCCCCCUGCGGGAUCUGGGCGUCUUCCACAACGGGGACAACUCCCAUCAGUUUGGGUUCACCGUUGGACCCAUUUGUUUCCACUAAGAUGGUCCUCGACGGAUGGCGUGGAUGAUGGUGGGGGGGAAUGCAAGAAUCGUUUCCCCCGGAAGAGGCCACCGAUUUUGGGAAAACCCUCUUUCCUCUUUAUGAGCUUCUUAGAGGAAAUUGCUUUUGCUGCCGACGGUGCUUCCUUACAAAGGAUGGACACUAUGGAUUCCCCUUUACAAGGACAUGGUCCUCAAGUCCCAUUUCUUUAGGAGAUAUAUGUAUAAAACGUGUUAAUUUAAGUAACGACGACAAAGUCAUUGAAUUACCUGCGGGAGCUGGCGGGUCUUUUUUUAUAUAUACUUUGUAUAUUUCCCCAUUGCAGGCAGAAAUCAACCAGUUUAUAUCUGGCUGAGGUGGGGGAGGGAAGGAAUGCCCCCACCUCCAAGGUCUCAGUGGAAUACAAGUCCCAUCCACUCUUGAUGAUGGUGUGGAUGAUGGGACACACGGUCCUGCAAUAUCAGGAGGGCCAUGAGUUGCUGAUUCUUAGGCAACCGUCACAAGUUGAGUUGGGCAUCUCCCGACUCGUUUCCCCCCUCUAAGGGCCAAACCAGCUCUGAUGUCAGUGGGGUCCAUGAAAUUAUAACGCACAAUGUAUACAAUACAGGGAAGUCAGAGUGGCCUCCCAAUUGCGAGGUAUCUGGAAGGAGAAGUUUAAGGGACAAAAAUGUGCUUACAAGCAAAACCUCCAUUCCCGCCACUAGAGAGAGGCCAAGAGUCACUGCCGGAAACCUUUUCUAAGGAGAGGAAAAAAAAUCGCUCUUGAGAGAAAAUGAGCAGAAGAUGGAAGCCCUUCUGUCAAGGUUUUGGUCCAGCCUGGCGUAAUUUCCUUCUUUAAGGAAAAUCUUUAAUAAAUGGAAUUUUAAUAGGUAGAAACA